AGAGUGAACGCCGGCGGUAGGCCUAACACAUGCAAGUCGAACGGCAGCACAGUGGUAGCAAUACCAUGGGUGGCGAGUGGCGGACGGGUGAGGAAUACAUCGGAAUCUACCUUUCGUGGGGGAUAACGUAGGGAAACUUACGCUAAUACCGCAUACGCCCUUUGGGGGAAAGCCGGGGAUCGCAAGACCUGGCGCGGAUAGAUGAGCCGAUGUCGGAUUAGCUAGUUGGUGAGGUAAUGGCUCACCAAGGCGACGAUCCGUAGCUGGUCUGAGAGGAUGAUCAGCCACACUGGAACUGAGACACGGUCCGGACUCCUACGGGAGGCAGCGAGUGGGGAAUAGUUGGACAAUGGGCGCAAGCCUGGACUCCAGCAAUGCCGCGUGGUGUGGAAGAAGGCCGUUCGGGUUGUAAAGCUACGUUUAAGUUAGGG
This 431-nucleotide ribosomal RNA is filed under the name uncultured soil bacterium. RNAcentral's name for it is "bacterial SSU rRNA". It matches the Rfam family "Bacterial small subunit ribosomal RNA", at positions 26 to 445 of the family's 1533-position model. The record is from RNAcentral.